Molecule: ribosomal RNA, 466 nt
Filed under: uncultured bacterium
Lineage: Bacteria
Description: partial 16S ribosomal RNA
Rfam family: Bacterial small subunit ribosomal RNA
Source: RNAcentral
GACGAACGCUGGCGGCGUGCUUAACACAUGCAAGUCGAACGGAAAGGCCUCUUUCGGGGGGUACUCGAGUGGCGAACGGGUGAGUAACACGUGAGUAACCUGCCCUUGACUUUGGGAUAACUUCAGGAAACUGGGGCUAAUACCGGAUAGGAGCUCCUGCUGCAUGGUGGGGGUUGGAAUGUUUCGGCGGUUGGGGAUGGACUCGCGGCUUAUCAGCUUGUUGGUGGGGUAGUGGCUUACCAAGGCUUUGACUGGUAGCCGGCCUGAGAGGGUGACCGGCCACAUUGGGACUGAGAUACGGCCCAGACUCCUACGGGAGGCAGCAGUGGGGAAUAUUGCACAAUGGGUGGAAGCCUGAUGCAGCAACGCCGUGUGCGGGAUGACGGCCUUCGGGUUGUAAACCGCUUUCGCUCAUGACGAAGCUUUGUGUGACGGUAGUGGGUAAAGAAGCACCGGCUAACUACGU